ACAUGCUUCUUUAUAUCCCCAUAUGGAUUAGGCUGCUAUGGAAUGUAAGGAAGUGUGUGG
This 60-nucleotide microRNA precursor is filed under the name Gallus gallus (chicken). RNAcentral describes it as "Gga-Mir-1-P2_pre stem-loop". It matches the Rfam family "mir-1 microRNA precursor family", at positions 10 to 70 of the family's 79-position model. From Rfam's summary of the family: This family represents the microRNA (miRNA) mir-1 family. miRNAs are transcribed as ~70nt precursors (modelled here) and subsequently processed by the Dicer enzyme to give a ~22nt product. In this case the mature sequence comes from the 3' arm of the precursor. Lineage: Eukaryota; Metazoa; Chordata; Aves; Galliformes; Phasianidae. RNAcentral also lists the same sequence under 1 other name. The record is from RNAcentral.